This 544-nucleotide ribosomal RNA is filed under the name Leptosphaeria sp. 2 KK-2015. RNAcentral's name for it is "eukaryotic LSU rRNA". The stretch from base 175 to 328 matches the Rfam family "5.8S ribosomal RNA". Lineage: Eukaryota; Fungi; Ascomycota; Dothideomycetes; Pleosporales; Leptosphaeriaceae. The record is from RNAcentral.
AGGUUUCCGUAGGUGAACCUGCGGAAGGAUCAUUAUCAAAACAGCGGACUUCGGUCCUUGCUGCACCCUUGUCUUUUGCGUACCGUAUGUUUCCUCGGCGGGCUUGCCUGCCGGUUGGACAUUAUCAAACCUUUUUGUAGUUGCAAUCAGCGUCAGAAAAUAAACAAUAAUUACAACUUUCAACAACGGAUCUCUUGGUUCUGGCAUCGAUGAAGAACGCAGCGAAAUGCGAAAAGUAGUGUGAAUUGCAGAAUUCAGUGAAUCAUCGAAUCUUUGAACGCACAUUGCGCCCCUUGGUAUUCCAUGGGGCAUGCCUGUUCGAGCGUCAUUUUGUACCCUCAAGCACUGCUUGGUGUUGGGUGUUUGUCCUGCAAAGGACUCGCCUGAAAGCGAUUGGCGGCCAACGUACUGGUGGUAGAGCGCAGCACAAUUUGCGUCUCUCCCUUCUACGUCGGCGUCCAUGAAGCCUUUUUUCAACGUUUGACCUCGGAUCAGGUAGGGAUACCCGCUGAACUUAAGCAUAUCAUAAGCGGAGGAGUCAUAG